Molecule: ribosomal RNA, 1022 nt
Filed under: uncultured fungus
Lineage: Eukaryota; Fungi
Description: eukaryotic LSU rRNA
Rfam family: Eukaryotic large subunit ribosomal RNA (bases 339-1022)
Source: RNAcentral
AUCGAUGAAGAACGCAGCGAAUUGCGAUAUGUAAUGUGAAUUGCAGAAUUCAGUGAAUCAUCGAAUCUUUGAACGCACCUUGCACCCUUUGGUAUUCCGAAGGGUAUGCCUGUUUGAGUGUCAUUAAAUUCUCAACUUCAAAAGGCUUUUUGUCUUUUUUGAAGCUUGGACUAUGGAAGCUUGCUGGUAUCACUAUCAGCUCUUCUUAAAUGCAUUAGCGGAACUUUAAGGACCAGCUUUGGUUUGAUAAUCCUAUCUAUGCCGCUGCUGUGGACUUGUGUGUUCAGCUUCUAAUGGUCUUCGGACUGUCUCCAUUGUGAGGCAUACACUUUUAAGCUUGACCUCAAAUCAGGUAGGACUACCCGCUGAACUUAAGCAUAUCAAUAAGCGGAGGAAAAGAAACUAACAAGGAUUCCCCUAGUAACUGCGAGUGAAGAGGGAAAAGCUCAAAUUUAAAAUCUGGCCGUUCUUGCAGCGGUCCGAGUUGUAGUUUAGAGAAGUGUUAUCCGCGCUGGCCUGUGCAAAAGUUUCUUGGAAAAGAACAUCAUAGAGGGUGACAAUCCCGUCUUUGGCAUGGACAACCAGGGCAUUUGUGAUGCGCUCUCGACGAGUCGUGUUGUUUGGGAAUGCAGCACUAAAUGGGUGGUAAAUUCCAUCUAAAGCUAAAUAUUGGCGAGAGACCGAUAGCGAACAAGUACCGUGAGGGAAAGAUGAAAAGAACUUUGAAAAGAGAGUUAAACAGUACGUGAAAUUGUUGAAAGGGAAACGCUUGAAGUCAGUCGUGUCCUCCAGUGAUCAAGUUGCCCUUGGGUGACCGUACUUUCUGGUGGAUGGGUCAGCAUCAAUUUUGACUGUUGGAUAAAGGCUGAGGGAAUGUGGCAUCUUCGGAUGUGUUAUAGACCUUGGUUGUAUACAAUGGUUGGGAUUGAGGAACUCAGUGUGCCUUUAUGGUUGGGGCUUGCUCACACCACACACUUAGGAUGCUGGCGUAAUGGCUUUAAUCGACCCGUCUUGAAACACGG